Molecule: long non-coding RNA, 1149 nt
Organism: Misgurnus anguillicaudatus (oriental weatherfish)
Lineage: Eukaryota; Metazoa; Chordata; Actinopteri; Cypriniformes; Cobitidae
Source: RefSeq, a predicted model, not a curated record
AAUAAGGCUACUUCCCUUUCAGACUCUUUCCAGAGAGAGGUUAAAUGCUUCACUGCAUCUCUUCUAAAGAUCACCUCAGUGAGAAAUGAAUAAUAUGUUUUUUGGAGCAAUUGUUAAACUUGGUCUUUGUGUCACUGUUUUCUCCGCAGUACUAUUUUUGGACUUUGAAGUGGGAACGCUGUCAAUUUUAUGAGCAGGCCGAUGGCAUCAUGUGUAAAGAAAUGACAUCGUGUAUUGUAUCUUUGUGCUAAAGACAAAAGUUUAUAUUUUGUUUUUAUUUACUUUAUACUGUAGGUCUGGAAAUGCAAAGACAGGUUUUGGAUGAGGAGCAUUACGUUUUUCACCAGGAUUUACAUGUUAGAAGAAAGAAACAGAGAUUGAAAGAGAGAUUUACCAGAAGUCCCAAAGAUUGAAGCCAUUUAAGGAUUCAAAACAAAAUAAAACAUUACAGAGAAUCGCCAAACACAUUGAAGAAUUCAGAGGUGGCAGUGAAGCUUUUCACAGCAGCCUGUGGUUGAUUCAGUGCGUCGAGUGGUGAGAACUGACGGAGGGUCUCGACUUGAUUUAAGGUUCCUGGUAUCUGCGAGCAGCUGGCCAGUUGCAUUCAGACGAUCAAUCCAUCCACCGCCCAGGCCCGGCAGAUUGAAGAAACAUCGCACUGGGCACCGUGUGCCUUCCCGUGAAGGGCCCCUGUGCUCCAAUCAACAUAAUCUGUGUCGACCCACGACUUCAGCCAAGGAAAAAAUCUUGAAUGAGGUUUUGCCUGUUUUUCUCCUGUUGUGAAACAAAUGAGAAAUAGAUUAACCCGUUCUUCUGAACGUCAGGCGACCCGGGUAGACGUAUUAAGAUAAUUUACAUGAGCACUGCGGGGGACUCCUGACGACCACUGUCCAGGCUUCAUUAAAUGAAUGUUAUAAUGUACUUUUCUAAUUUCAGUCCCCCCUCCCUAUCAUGUCAAUCACGUUAUUGAACACUGACCCUACUGUCACUAAAUAGCAAUGAUGUAACGUUUGCUUGAGCUCACAAGAGAUACAAUUAACAGGUUGUUUUAUUUUAAAGAAAACUUGAUACAGUGUUUAUUUUACAUUCUCUAAAGAUUCACAAUGAGAAAUAUCUGCGCAUUGAUGGGAUAAUGAUGUAAUUUUCCCA